UCAUAUUGUACCAAUUACCAAUGCAAUAUUAUGAUCUUGGAAAGGUAUCAGUCACCUUAGAUUCUUAAUGAUUGGAAUCUGUACAACUUAAAAAAGGUGGAAACAAAACCAACCCCAGAGGGGUGAAACAGAGGAUAAGUUCUUCCCUGUGAGCUUCACAGCUGAGAUAGUUUCAAGGAUGAAAGAAGGCAGUCUGGCUGUCCUCCUUUCACACAAUUUAUUGCUCUUUCCAAAGAAUAGAUAAGGGUUCCAGCAGGCAGCAUAAAGCUGUGAACUAAUCAUCAGAAAGGAAACAAAGCACAAAUUUGUACCUCUCAACGCUCACCUAGAGGUUUUCUGGGCCUUAUAAAAUAUAGGUCUUUCUUUCAAUUUCAACAUUAAACCCUGUAUCAAGUAUUCCUUAAUAAUACUUCUACAUUGCCAUUUCUAAAUACAAAUAAAUGACAUCACACAUGCCUCAAUCAAAUUUAACCCCUAACAUGCCACUCCUGCAUUUGCUGACUGAAUCAGUGUGUAUGGGGAUUAGUUACCAUCUACAAUUAGUCUCUCAUCCAAGACUUUUUCUUUGUCCCUUAUACUGGGAAAUUGCAUAUAGGAGAUUGCAUAUAGGAGAUGAACAGGGAGUUUCGCAAGGGAGUUCUCCAGGUGAAGGAGGAGCAAAUACAGGACCUUUGGGGUAAGUGACUGUCAGUAGUGUGUGUUUGUUUGUGUUUGAGGGUUACUUGCUGAGUGCUGAGCUUGUGUUUGUCAGUCUGUUUGUUUGGUUGGUUGUUUGAAGGACCGUGUGCUGUGGCUGGCAGUUGGAAGCUGUGAGCUUCAAAGGAAAGUCUGAAGGCUAGAAGCCUCUGGUAAUUGGCUGAGCCUUAAUCAGUGGGCGGGGCAUUCACCUAGGCCAGGGCUUUAUAAAGCAGCGCACAAGUGACCAGGGAGCUUUUGCGAACAGGGAGUUUCGCAAAGGAGUUCUCCAGGUGAAGGAGGAGCAAAUACAGGACCCUUGGGCACAAGACCGAAGUCCCAUAGCUAACUCUGAGGUAUAUAGGAACCAUCAGGAUUGGAAUGGGCCUUUAACAUAAGCCUAUCAGAGUGCAGGAGAAUUUCAUCAGUUUGUUACGUUUGAAGAUCAAGUAAAAUUAUAGUGACAUCUAGUGACCAUUAAGAUUACCAGCAGUAACAGAACAAUAUAUUGCUGCUAGAGAACAUUUUAAUCACACAGUAUUCAGAAUUCGAUUAUUAAAAUCGGUAGAGAAUGAAUUAAAAUGCUGAUGGAUGUAAUAACGUGAC
This is a long non-coding RNA of Malaclemys terrapin pileata, 1281 nucleotides long. RefSeq lists it as uncharacterized. NCBI's taxonomy places the organism in Eukaryota, Metazoa, Chordata, Testudines, Emydidae. The transcript is spliced from 3 exons. The record is from RefSeq and is a predicted model, not a curated record.